UCCUUGAAGUAGUUCUCGCAAGUCUCAGCUAGAUGAAUCUCGAGCGAUGAAUCCAGAGUGACAACCGGCGCAAAAACGCGCUGGCUUUUAUACCAAAAGGCGAUGCAAUGCUGCACCAAUCACCGAAAAGUCCGAGCAUAACGCGGCUGUCGAUACAUAUGAUUGGCGUGAUAAAUGUAGUGGGAGAACGCGAGCUAGAAUAAAGAAAGAGCCCUUGCAGGCAUCUUAGCGCUACCGUGGUUACCACUAAAAACAACGAUAUUGCUUUGUCGCACGCGUCUAACGCUUUGGCAGGGCCGUACGCGCCUAGGUGCUUCGCCCUACUCACUCGUUGCGUGGGAUACGCAACAAAUCUUUCAAACGGAAUGCAUUAAAUGAUUCACAUCAUAAUGACAUUGAUGUUAAAAACUGUCCUAAACCUGAGGCGGAAGGGGUUCAUCCGAUGGAUGAAUACCGUUUGAACGGAGUUAAUGUCGAGUAUGAAUCUGAAUCUGUGGCGCAGAGGGUGAAUCCGAUAUCAACCAUAGCAAGACCUCUUCUUCAACUACGGUCUAAAGAGAAACAGUUAAAGAAAUCAGAACAAAAUUUUUCCUAAUUAAAAAAAAAAGUGUACCCGAUUAAUGGCAAGGACGAAGAAAAUGAAGCAAACGAA
RNAcentral lists this long non-coding RNA (652 nucleotides) under Polistes fuscatus (common paper wasp). Its description in RNAcentral is "uncharacterized LOC122525162". Lineage: Eukaryota; Metazoa; Arthropoda; Insecta; Hymenoptera; Vespidae. The record is from RNAcentral.